GAUGAACGCUGGCGGCGUGCCUAAUACAUGCAAGUCGAGCGAACAGGCGAGGAGCUUGCUCCUCUGACGUUAGCGGCGGACGGGUGAGUAACACGUGGAUAACCUACCUAUAAGACUGGGAUAACUUCGGGAAACCGGAGCUAAUACCGGAUAAUAUAUUGAACCGCAUGGUUCAAUAGUGAAAGACGGUUUUGCUGUCACUUAUAGAUGGAUCCGCGCCGCAUUAGCUAGUUGGUAAGGUAACGGCUUACCAAGGCAACGAUGCGUAGCCGACCUGAGAGGGUGAUCGGUCACACUGGAACUGAGACACGGUCCAGACUCCUACGGGAGGCAGCAGUAGGGAAUCUUCCGCAAUGGGCGAAAGCCUGACGGAGCAACGCCGCGUGAGUGAUGAAGGUCUUCGGAUCGUAAAACUCUGUUAUUAGGGAAGAACAAAUGUGUAAGUAACUAUGCACGUCUUGACGGUACCUAAUCAGAAAGCCACGGCUAACUACGUG
RNAcentral lists this ribosomal RNA (497 nucleotides) under uncultured bacterium. RNAcentral describes it as "partial 16S ribosomal RNA". It matches the Rfam family "Bacterial small subunit ribosomal RNA", at positions 28 to 507 of the family's 1533-position model. The record is from RNAcentral.